This 245-nucleotide ribosomal RNA is filed under the name uncultured bacterium. Its description in RNAcentral is "partial small subunit ribosomal RNA". It matches the Rfam family "Bacterial small subunit ribosomal RNA", at positions 26 to 285 of the family's 1533-position model. The record is from RNAcentral.
AGAAUCAACGCUGGCGGCGUGCCUAACACAUGCAAGUCGCACGAGAAAGGGGAGCAAUCCCUGAGUACAGCGGCGCACGGGUGAGUAACACGUGAAUAAUCUACCUCCGAGUGGGGAAUAACUGAGAGAAAUCUUAGCUAAUACCGCAUAACACUUACGAGUCAAAGCAGCAAUGCGCUUGGAGAGGAGUUCGCGGCAGAUUAGUUAGUUGGCGGGGUAAUGGCCCACCAAGACGAUGAUCUGUA